GAUGAACGCUGGCGGCGUGCCUAAUACAUGCAAGUCGAGCGAACAGACGAGGAGCUUGCUCCUCUGACGUUAGCGGCGGACGGGUGAGUAACACGUGGAUAACCUACCUAUAAGACUGGGAUAACUUCGGGAAACCGGAGCUAAUACCGGAUAAUAUAUUGAACCGCAUGGUUCAAUAGUGAAAGACGGUUUUGCUGUCACUUAUAGAUGGAUCCGCGCCGCAUUAGCUAGUUGGUAAGGUAACGGCUUAUCAAGGCAACGAUGCGUAGCCGACCUGAGAGGGUGGUCGGCCACACUGGAACUGAGACACGGUCCAGACUCCUACGGGAGGCAGCAGUAGGGAAUCUUCCGCAAUGGGCGAAAGCUUGACGGAGCAACGCCGCGUGAGUGAUGAAGGUCUUCGGAUCGUAAAACUCUGUUAUUAGGGAAGAACAAAUGUGUAAGUAACUAUGCACGUCUUGACGGUACCUAAUCAGAAAGCCACGGCUAACUACGUG
Molecule: ribosomal RNA, 497 nt
Filed under: uncultured bacterium
Lineage: Bacteria
Description: partial 16S ribosomal RNA
Rfam family: Bacterial small subunit ribosomal RNA
Source: RNAcentral